Molecule: ribosomal RNA, 587 nt
Filed under: Trichosporon japonicum
Lineage: Eukaryota; Fungi; Basidiomycota; Tremellomycetes; Trichosporonales; Trichosporonaceae
Description: partial large subunit ribosomal RNA
Rfam family: Eukaryotic large subunit ribosomal RNA
Source: RNAcentral
UAACAAGGAUUCCCCUAGUAACGGCGAGUGAAGCGGGAAGAGCUCAAAUUUGAAAUCUGGCAGUCUUCGAUUGUCCGAGUUGUAAUCUAUAGAGGCGUUUUCCGUGCCGGACCGUGUCCAAGUCUCCUGGAAAGGAGUAUCAAAGAGGGUGAUAAUCCCGUACUUAACACGACCACCGGUGCUCUGUGAUACGUCUUCUACGAGUCGAGUUGUUUGGGAAUGCAGCUCAAAAUGGGUGGUGAAUUCCAUCUAAAGCUAAAUAUUGGCGAGAGACCGAUAGCGAACAAGUACCGUGAGGGAAAGAUGAAAAGCACUUUGGAAAGAGAGUUAAACAGUACGUGAAAUUGUUGAAAGGGAAACGAUUGAAGUCAGUCGUGUUCUUUGGAUUCAGCCAGUUCUGCUGGUCUACUUCCUUGGAACGGGUCAACAUCAGUUUUGUCCGGUGGAUAAAGGUAGUAGGAAUGUGACUUCUCCGGAAGUGUUAUAGCCUAUUAUCACAUACACUGGGUGAGACUGAGGACUGCAGCUCGCCUUUAUGGCCGGUCUUCGGACACGUUCGAGCUUAGGAUGUUGACAUAAUGGCUUUA